UCCCUCAGUAAUGGCGAAUGAACAGGGAUGAGCUCAGUAUGGAAAUUGGGGCCUGUGGCCUUGAAUUGUAGUCUGGAGAUGUACCACCAACUGGGGCGCAGAUGUAAGCCUCUUGGAAAAGAGCAUCAAUGAGGGUGAGAGUCCCGCAUGGCAUCUGCAGUCCCCAGUGCACGGUGUACCUUCUAAGAGUCACGUUCCUCGGGAUUGGAGCGCAAAUCGGGUGGUAAAUUUCAUCUAAAGCUAAAUAUAGUUUCGAGACCGAUAGCAAACAAGUACCAUGAGGGAAAGGUGAAAAGGACUUUGAAAAGAGAGUUAAAAGUGCCUGAAAUUGCUGAAAGGGAAGCGAAUGGAACCAGCGAAACUUGGCAAGAUUGCUGUGUGUCAAUGUGAUUGCUUGCUGCUGCAACGUAAGUGUGGUAGUAAGUCUUGAGCAGGACAUGCUCGGUGUUUCUUGCCUUGUGUGUCACCUGUGGUUCGUGAUUGAGGAAAACUUCAGGGACAUGGUAGCCUGUCUCCGGGUGGGUGAACGUGUCUGCUGGAACUCAUUCGUGGACUGCUUGGUGACUAAAUGGUUUCAUCCGACCCGUCUU
RNAcentral lists this ribosomal RNA (590 nucleotides) under Scrippsiella donghaiensis. RNAcentral's name for it is "partial large subunit ribosomal RNA". It matches the Rfam family "Eukaryotic large subunit ribosomal RNA", at positions 76 to 655 of the family's 3401-position model. The record is from RNAcentral. Lineage: Eukaryota; Dinophyceae; Peridiniales; Peridiniaceae.